GAUGAACGCUGGCGGCGUGCCUAAUACAUGCAAGUCGAGCGAACAGAUAAGGAGCUUGCUCCUUUGACGUUAGCGGCGGACGGGUGAGUAACACGUGGGUAACCUACCUAUAAGACUGGAAUAACUCCGGGAAACCGGGGCUAAUGCCGGAUAACAUUUAGAACCGCAUGGUUCUAAAGUGAAAGAUGGUUUUGCUAUCACUUAUAGAUGGACCCGCGCCGUAUUAGCUAGUUGGUAAGGUAACGGCUUACCAAGGCAACGAUACGUAGCCGACCUGAGAGGGUGAUCGGCCACACUGGAACUGAGACACGGUCCAGACUCCUACGGGAGGCAGCAGUAGGGAAUCUUCCGCAGUGGGCGAAAGCCUGACGGAGCAACGCCGCGUGAGUGAUGAAGGUCUUCGGAUCGUAAAACUCUGUUAUUAGGGAAGAACAAAUGUGUAAGUAACUGUGCACGUCUUGACGGUACCUAAUCAGAAAGCCACGGCUAACUACGU
RNAcentral lists this ribosomal RNA (496 nucleotides) under uncultured bacterium. RNAcentral's name for it is "partial 16S ribosomal RNA". It matches the Rfam family "Bacterial small subunit ribosomal RNA", at positions 28 to 506 of the family's 1533-position model. The record is from RNAcentral.